AUUGCCCUCUUUCUUUAGGCCUAACACAUGCAAGUCGAACGGCAGCACAGUAAGAGCUUGCUCUUACGGGUGGCGAGUGGCGGACGGGUGAGGAAUACAUCGGAAUCUACUUUUUCGUGGGGGAUAACGUAGGGAAACUUACGCUAAUACCGCAUACGACCUACGGGUGAAAGCAGGGGAUCUUCGGACCUUGCGCGAUUGAAUGAGCCGAUGUCGGAUUAGCUAGUUGGCGGGGUAAAGGCCCACCAAGGCGACGAUCCGUAGCUGGUCUGAGAGGAUGAUCAGCCACACUGGAACUGAGACACGGUCCAGACUCCUACGGGAGGCAGCAGUGGGGAAUAUUGGACAAUGGGCGCAAGCCUGAUCCAGCCAUACCGCGUGGGUGAAGAAGGCCUUCGGGUUGUAAAGCCCUUUUGUUGGGAAAGAAAAGCAGCAGGUUAAUACCCCGCUGUUCUGACGGUACCCAAAGAAUAAGCACCGGCUAACUUCGUG
This 492-nucleotide ribosomal RNA is filed under the name uncultured bacterium. RNAcentral describes it as "partial 16S ribosomal RNA". It matches the Rfam family "Bacterial small subunit ribosomal RNA", at positions 36 to 507 of the family's 1533-position model. The record is from RNAcentral.